GCGGGGCGCACGCGUCCGGGGCCCUCGGAAGCGGGCGGCCGGGCCACAGCGGGGCCUGAGCCUCCUGGGGUUUCGCGUGGGCGCGGCUGCGGCUGCGAGCGGAGGCUGCUGGACUGAAGUAGGACUCAGCACGCGCUGCGACGCCCGAGCCCUCCGGGUUCGGCUCCAUUAAUUUCCCUGCGCGUACACCUGUGUGGCCACCGCCCGCCCAGCAGAACGUGCCAGCACCCUCCAAAGGAUCCCUCGCGCUUCUUCCCAACCUGCUUCCCUUCGUCGCACCCCCGGAGCGGUCCCAAGCCUCAGGCAUCCACACUAUUCUGCUUUUUUGUCACUAUAGAUCCGUUUUUGCCUGGUUGUGGACUUGUUAUACUUGAACUCGUACUAAAUACUCUCAUUUGGCUUCUUGCACUCGAUCCUGCAUUUCAGACCUUCCUGUUGUACCUAAUAAAGCUGUGGUGAACAUUCUGGUAAGGUUUGCUUUGGUGGACUGAAGCUCUUGUUUCUCUGGAGUAAAUACCUCCGAGUGGAUUUACUGGGGCACAAGGUGAGUUACGUUUACUUCCAUUAGAUGCUGUGAAACAGUUAUGCAAGUGACAUACUGUAUACCGAGAGAGGCAGCGCAGGGAAAGGAGCAGGAGAGGGACAAGCAGCCUCCAUGCUGAGCACGGAGUGCAGCACACGGCUGGAUCUUGCAACCCUGAGAUCAUGACCUGAGCCAAAAUCAAGAGUUGAUCACCCAACAGACUGAGCCACCAGGUACCCUCUGGGUUAUUUUUUGAACAAAGACAGGCCCAAAUGGGGCUACCACAAUGUAAUUAAUGUUAUCGGUGUUCCCUUUGAGCAGACUGUUCCUGUGGCUGAACUUCUAACUUCAUUUGUAAAUGACCCCAGAAAUCUGCAUCUCAGAAAUAUAAUGCCUGAUCCAUCCUAUUAGAAGACCAUCAUCAAUGUGGCAAAGUCUUGGUAAUUCUAGAAUGUGGAGAUAUUCACCCACUCUAUUUUGACAUGCCUCAAUGCCCACAGGCCUGAAGUUGAUGUUGCAUAUCAUUUUUUUUUCUGUAGAUUUACAUUUUUCACUCCAGUCCUUUUUCAGGGCUUUCGAAUCCACAACGGAGAUGAUAGAGGGGGUCAUUGUUGGAGGGAAACACAAAAACCAAGCACUGGAUAAUUUCUCCUCCUCCAAGAGGCCUUGAUCCAAUUCUCCACCAAUCUUCCAAAUCAGUGAUUUUCAAUGUAUGGUCCCUAGACCAGCAGCACCAGCGUCCCCUGGGAUCUUGCGAGAAAUAUAAAUUUUGGGGCCACACCCAGAACUGCUGAAUCAGAAACUCUUGGGGUGAGGCUCAGCAAUCUCUGCUUUGACAAGCUGUCCCCUCACCUCCCACAUGAUUCCGAUGCAUGCUGAAGUUUGAGAACCGCUGUCAUUUCCUGAAUCCACUGGAGUUGAGACUUUGCUGAAUUUCCUUGACUGCUUUGGCCAAUGUGGCCGUCCAGCCCCACCAGGAAAUAAUCCCUGCUAAUGGCCACUCUAUGUUAAUCACUUCAUCAUGUUCACUUAACAGCUUGAGCAAGAUGCUGGGCUGUACAAGGGCCGGGUGCUGGCCUGGUGUGCAAGAAAAGGCUCCGCAGAUCAGACGUGCUGCCAUGCACACUGAGAUUUCUACACUGGUGUGAUGCCUUCUCGGUGUGAAGGGCUGCCUCUUGGAGGAGUGAGAGGUUUAGGCAAAGGACUUCAUAACCCCCUUUAAAGAUCUCACACUCUAAGAGAAAGCCAAACAGAUGCGUGGUCUUCAAGUAACUGGUCUUUUGGGACUCUGGGUGAACUUCCCAUCAUCUUCACUGAGCCAGAUUGUAUUCCAACUGCUGCGCUGAGCUCCAGAGGGAAGAGGGAGAUGAAAAUGCACAACCCAACCUCUGCAACACGUCACAGACCAGCUGGGAGAAAGAUGAAGAAGCUCACAUUGAAAAAUCAUCCAAGAUACACUGCCGUACCAGCAAGAACCAUACUGCCUAAACACACUUCCUCUAAAUACACAUCUGCCUUGCUGCCUGGGGUUCUUCCCACCAACUGAUGGUAUCGAAUAAUGAUGCCACAAAAUAUUAGUUCUGGAGAUUGGAGACAUUUCAGUCCAGUGUUUUCCGCAAAGUAUGGUACAUGUGUCACUGUGGUCAGCAAGUAUCUUAGAGUACAUGCAUGUAUUUAUCGUUUUAAUGUUUAUGCACUUAUUCUAAUAUGUAUUAGGAAAAAACAUGCCACCAGCACAUCAAUCUGGGCACUCAGCAGCAUCACUGCAAAGCCCAUGUCUCAUUCAAUGCUUUCUGGGCCAACUGGUUAGCAUGUGAGAAUCAUGGCUGGUGAACCCCAGUCUUGGGGGAGAUGGGUCUCUCCUACCACCUUGGCCUGGUGGCUGUGGGCAACGGUAUUUGGGCAAUACUGCAAUUGGGCAGCCCUGUGAAGACGAUACCCACAGCACCCAACCUUAGGUUUUUAGCAGGAAGUCUCCUUUCUCAAAUCAGACAACUUCCCCCAGAUUUCGAAACAUUUAAUCAGAAAAGAAUCCGGACAUUUAAAAAUUAGAUUUACAAAAUUGACACGGUCUUAAUAUUAGCAAUUUCUCUAUUAUACAUUGUCUAAGAAAAUAAGGUCUAUGAAGACAUCAACAAGGUAUUUAAGAAUUCAUUAUAAGCUACAACAAUUUGCAAAUAAGUAUCCAGUUUAAUUGUAACAAACCAUUGUGAACAAAUUUAACUAAGUAUAUAAAAACAUUAGUUAAAUACAAUUCUCUGGAAAUAUACAUUAUACCUACAGUUGUUGUUGUUUGUUGUUUUUGUUUUUUUUUUUUUUUUACAGUUAGACUCUUCUUGUUUCCUCCCUUUUAAUUCUCAAAAUGGCAAAUCACUGUAUGGUCCUGGAUCUCCAAGCUAUAAAACUGAAAUAUGUGUUUCCAGCAUAGCAGAUGGUGACCAGGAAGGCGAAGAACUGGAGAAAAAGAACAUAGUAGAAAGAAGGCUUAGGGCACAUUCUAAUUAGCAAAAGUUAUCAUUUCACCUCCAUUGAAUCAGGCACUCAUAGCAUCCCUUGACUCCAGGGUUUCUCAUCUAAAACUGCUUUAUUGGUUUAAUUACCUUCCUUUUGAAACAAUCUCUGGCUACGCUGAAUGUUUGGGCUUUUUUGGUUUUUGUUUGUUUGUUUGUUUUUGUUUUGAAACACAUCUGGAAAGCUUGAGUUUUGCUCAAAUAACCACAGGGUGUUCACUUCAGGGUGAAUAUGGUAGUGUGUAUCUGAGAAAAGCACACACAUUCCUAAUUUAGUGCAGACAAUUUUAGAUCAGGGUUUAACCUCAGAUUGCCAUAGGGUCAGUUAAAUAAAGGAGUCAAGUGGGUGAGGGGAAGCGAUAAAGCCACAUGGUGUGAAUGGUGAGCAGGGAAAAUGCAAGCUCCUUGGAAGGGGCAGCUACUGCCCAGUUGUGGCUGAUUCUUGCUGUAUGAUAGCUUGAGCCCAGAGCUGCUAAAGCUCGUGAUUUAAAGAAAAAAAAAAAUUUUUUUUUUAAAGUAGGCUCCAUGCCCAGUGUGGAGCUCAAUGCAGGACUGAACUCAGGACCCUGAGAUCAAGACCCGAGCUGAGAUCAAGAAUUGGACACUUAACUGACUGAACCAUGUGCACCAUGCUCUUUACCUUUAAUAUAGAUUUCUGAAUAUAAAUAUAAGAAUCGAAGGAACAGGGGUGUGGGGAGUGCCUGAGUGGCUCCGUUGGUUGAGGAUCUAACUCUUGAUCUGAGCUCAGGGUCAUGAGUUUAAGACCCAUAUUGAGCUCCACACUGGGCAUAGAGCCUACUUAAAAAAAAAAAAAAAAAAAAAAAAAAAAGAAUAUAACAAAUGGCUACAUAUCAUCAGUUUUAAUAUGAUCAUUUUGAUAUUCUUGUCGAACUGUCAUCCCCACCCCCCUGCCAAUUACAUCUUUUGGGAAUGUAAUAUUUUAACGCCAACUCAGAGAAACUUCUAAAAUAAGUUUUGCAAAUCAGAACUACAAUACACAUUUAUGGUUCAAAAAAUGCAAACAGAACAGAAGCACAUAAAUUAAAAAGCAGAAGCCCUGCAGGCUGCUCCCAUCAUCAUCCAACCAGUCUCUGGAUGGAACCUCUGUUGGUGUGUGCUUUUCUAGAUAUUCUCAAUGCAUAAAUAAACAUCUCUGCUUAUUGAGUAAAAA
This is a long non-coding RNA of Canis lupus familiaris (dog), 4204 nucleotides long. RefSeq lists it as uncharacterized. The transcript is spliced from 3 exons. Lineage: Eukaryota; Metazoa; Chordata; Mammalia; Carnivora; Canidae. The record is from RefSeq and is a predicted model, not a curated record.